AUACCUUUCUCGGCCUUUUGGCUAAGAUCAAGUGUAGUAUCUGUUCUUAUCAGUUUAAUAUCUGAUAUGUGGGCCAUGUGUCUACUUUGAUAUUAAAUUUAUUUUUCGUGGGGAGAGGGUUCACCAUAGUGGCUUGCAAAGCGUUGCACUAAAGCUCAUGCUAGGCACACCCCAA
Oryza sativa Japonica Group (Japanese rice) is the source of this 175-nucleotide non-coding RNA. The record is from Rfam. NCBI's taxonomy places the organism in Eukaryota, Viridiplantae, Streptophyta, Magnoliopsida, Poales, Poaceae.